GGCAAUCUAACGAAAUUAGAGUUUCUAAACCUGUACGUAAACCAGUUAACCGGCGUAAUACCCCCGGCUAUCGCAAAAUUACCGAAAUUGAAGGAGGUAAAACUCUAUACCAACAAGUUAACCGGUGAGAUACCGGGUGAUUUCGGUUUACACUCAAAUCUAGAGCGGUUAUGAUUUCGGUUUGUACUCAAAUCUAGAGCGGUUCGAAGUGUCGGAGAAUCAGUUAACCGGGAAAAUACCGGAGAAUCUCUGCAAGGGAGGGAAGCUCCUCGGCGUGGUUGUAUUCUCUAACAAUCUCACCGGCGUAAUACCAGAG
RNAcentral lists this long non-coding RNA (316 nucleotides) under Brassica napus (rape). RNAcentral describes it as "long non-coding RNA (BNAP_LNC005397)". The record is from RNAcentral. Lineage: Eukaryota; Viridiplantae; Streptophyta; Magnoliopsida; Brassicales; Brassicaceae.